GGGGAUAUGGUGAAAUGGUAGACACAAUAGACUUAAAAUCUAUUGAUUUUAAUUGAUCAUGAGGGUUCAAGUCCCUCUAUCCCCA
This 85-nucleotide transfer RNA is filed under the name Harveyella mirabilis. Its description in RNAcentral is "tRNA-Leu". It matches the Rfam family "tRNA". Rfam says of the family: Transfer RNA (tRNA) molecules are approximately 80 nucleotides in length. Their secondary structure includes four short double-helical elements and three loops (D, anti-codon, and T loops). The record is from RNAcentral. Lineage: Eukaryota; Rhodophyta; Florideophyceae; Gigartinales; Choreocolacaceae.